CUAUAAACCUGUCAGGAGAGAUACCACAAUCAUAAAGGUGGUUUUCUUAAGGAGAGGCUUAUCCAUUGCACUCCAGAUGCACUGACCCCUAAAAUUUUCCCAAAUGAGGGCAAUUCAAUUGCAUAAUUUGUUUUAAUGGGGGACUGAGUUAGCACUAUCACAUG
Small nuclear RNA from Suncus etruscus (white-toothed pygmy shrew), 164 nucleotides. RefSeq annotates it as U1 spliceosomal RNA. The record is from RefSeq and is a predicted model, not a curated record. Lineage: Eukaryota; Metazoa; Chordata; Mammalia; Eulipotyphla; Soricidae. The transcript has a single exon.